Molecule: ribosomal RNA, 474 nt
Filed under: uncultured organism
Description: partial 16S ribosomal RNA
Rfam family: Bacterial small subunit ribosomal RNA
Source: RNAcentral
CACUCCUGCGGGAGGCAGCAGUAGGGAAUCUUCCACAAUGGGUGCAAACCUGAUGGAGCAAUGCCGCGUGAGUGAAGAAGGUCUUCGGAUCGUAAAGCUCUGUUGUUAGAGAAGAACACGUGCUAGGUAACUACUAGCGCCUUGACGGUAUCUAACCAGAAAGUCACGGCUAACUACGUGCCAGCAGCCGCGGUAAUACGUAGGUGACAAGCGUUGUCCGGAUUUAUUGGGCGUAAAGGGAGCGCAGGCGGUCUGUUUAGUCUAAUGUGAAAGCCCACGGCUUAACCGUGGAACGGCAUUGGAAACUGACAGACUUGAAUGUAGAAGAGGAAAAUGGAAUUCCAAGUGUAGCGGUGGAAUGCGUAGAUAUUUGGAGGAACACCAGUGGCGAAGGCGAUUUUCUGGUCUAACAUUGACGCUGAGGCUCGAAAGCGUGGGGAGCGAACAGGAUUAGAAACCCCAGUAGUCCCAUGA